GGUAAGGGCAUUUGGUGAAUGCCUUGGCACUCAGAGGCGAAGAAGGACGUGAUACACUGCGAAAAGCUGCGGGGAGUUGUGAAUAAGCUAUGAUCCGCGGAUAUCCGAAUGGGGGAACCCACAGAGAGAUCUGUAUCUUAUGAUGAAUAAAUAGUUAUAAGAAGCGAACGCAGGGAACUGAAACAUCUAAGUACCUGUAGGAAAGGAAAUCAACCGAGACUCCGAAAGUAGUGGCGAGCGAAAUCGGAUCAGCCGAUGGAUUGUAUAAUAAGAACUAGAAUGGCGUGGGAAAGCCAACCGAAGAAGGUGAGAGUCCUGUAUAGGUAGAAAGUGAUACAAUUCUUGAGUAGGGCGGAGCACGAGGAAUUCUGUCUGAAAAUAGGGAGACCACUCUCUAAGGCUAAGUACUCCUGAGUGACCGAUAGUGAACAAGUACCGUGAGGGAAAGGUGAAAAGCACCCCGAUAAGGGGAGUGAAAGAGAACCUGAAACCGGAUGCCUACAAGCAGUCGGAGGGGCAAUAAGCCCUGACGGCGUACCUUUUGUAUAAUGGGUCAGCGACUUAAUUUACGUAGCAAGCUUAAGCCGAUAGGUGUAGGCGCAGCGAAAGCGAGUGUUAAUAGCGCGUUAAGUUACGUGGAUUAGACCCGAAACCGAGUGAUCUAGCCAUGAUCAGGCUGAAGGUUGGGUAACACCAACUGGAGGGCCGGACCCACUUCUGUUGAAAAAGAAGGGGAUGAAUUGUGGCUAGGGGUGAAAGGCCAAUCAAACUCGGAAAUAGCUGGUUCUCCGCGAAAACUAUUUAGGUAGUGCGGUAAACGGACACCGUUAGGGGUAGAGCACUGAAAGAACGAAGGAGGAGCGAUCCUUACUGACUUUUAUCAAACUCCGAAUACUAACGAGUGAUAUUUACCAGACAGACUGUAGGUGCUAAGGUCUACGGUCGAGAGGGAAAGAGCCCAGACCGCCAAUUAAGGUCCCAAAAUUAUGGCUAAGUGGUAAAGGAAGUGAAUUGUCCAAAACAGUCAGGAGGUUGGCUUAGAAGCAGCCAUCCUUUAAAGAAAGCGUAAUAGCUCACUGAUCUAAACAAGACGAUUUGCGCCGAAGAUGUAACGGGGCUAAAGCCAUAUACCGAAGUUGCGGAAUUGCGUUGAAGAGACGUAAUUGGUAGCGGAGCGUUCUGUAAGCCGGAGAAGCUGUACCGUAAGGUAUGGUGGAGGUAUCAGAAGUGAGAAUGCUGACAUGAGUAGCGAAAAGAAGUGUGAGAGACACUUCCGCUGAAAGUCCAAGGUUUCCUGCGUAAAGCUAAUCUGCGCAGGGUUAGUCGGCCCCUAAGGCGAGGCUGAGAAGCGUAGUCGAUGGGAAGCAGGUUAAUAUUCCUGCACCGGCAUGGAGAUGACGAAUUCAGAAAGUUGUAUGAGAUUAACGGAUUUUGAAUGCAGCGAAUGAGUUCCAGGAAAUAGCCCAUGCUAAGACCGUACCCGAAACCGACACAGGUGGACAGGUAGAGCAUACCAAAGCGCUUGAGAGAACUAUGUUGAAGGAACUAGGCAAAAUACUUGCGUAACUUCGGGAUAAGCAAGCCCCAUUGAAAGGCAACUUUUGGUGGGGGGCACAUACUAGGGGGUAGCGACUGUUUACUAAAAACACAGGGCUCUGCUAAAUUGAAAGAUGAAGUAUAGGGUCUGACGCCUGCCCGGUGCUGGAAGGUUAAGGAGAGAUGUGCAAGCAUCGAACUGAAGCCCCAGUAAACGGCGGCCGUAACUAUAACGGUCCUAAGGUAGCGAAAUUCCUUGUCGGGUAAGUUCCGACCUGCACGAAUGGCGUAACCAGUACCCGCGGUUAGACGGAAAGACCCCGUGAACCUUUACUAUAGCUUUGCAGUGGUAUUAGGUGACAGAUGUGUAGGAUAGGUGGGAUGCUAUGAAGGAAUGGCGCUAGUUGUUCUGGAGCAGACGUUGAAAUACCACCCUUUUGUUAUUUGAUAUCUAACCUGCUCCCGUAAGCCGGGAGAGGGACCCUGCAUGGUGGGUAGUUUGACUGGGGCGGUCGCCUCCCAAAGAGUAACGGAGGCGCGCAAAGGUUAGCUCAGACUGGUCGGAAAUCAGUCGUCGAGUGCAAUGGCAUAAGCUAGCCUGACUGCGAGAGAGACAUUUCGAGCAGACACGAAAGUGGGUCAUAGUGAUCCGGUGGUCCCGAGUGGAAGGGCCAUCGCUCAACGGAUAAAAGGUACUCCGGGGAUAACAGGCUGAUUCCGCCCAAGAGUUCACAUCGACGGCGGAGUUUGGCACCUCGAUGUCGGCUCAUCACAUCCUGGGGCUGGAGAAGGUCCCAAGGGUUCGGCUGUUCGCCGAUUAAAGUGGUACGCGAGCUGGGUUUAGAACGUCGUGAGACAGUUCGGUCCCUAUCUGCCGUGGGUGUAGGAUACUUGAAAGGAUUUGUCCUUAGUACGAGAGGACCGGGAUGAACAUACCUCUGGUGUGCCAGUUGUGACGCCAGUCGCAACGCUGGGUAGCUAAGUAUGGAAGGGAUAACCGCUGAAUGCAUCUAAGCGGGAAACCCACCUUAAAACUAGGUAUCCCCAUUAGAACCGUAGUAGACAACUACGUCGAUAGGUUGGGUGUGUAAGCGUGGCAACGCGUUUAGCUAACCAAUACUAAUAGUUCGAUUGGCUUGAU
RNAcentral lists this ribosomal RNA (2677 nucleotides) under bovine gut metagenome. Its description in RNAcentral is "Bacterial large subunit ribosomal RNA". It matches the Rfam family "Bacterial large subunit ribosomal RNA". The record is from RNAcentral.